AGAACAUUUGCUCUUUUUCUGUUGCAAGUCUUCUGCACUUCUUGAACAUACCAUGCCCAUGCCUGUCUGCCCUGUGUUUUGGACAGAGGCCGUCUAAAUAGCCAUGAAAGAGAUGGAUCUGAUAUUCAGAAGUGUAGUGAGCAGGAUGGCAUCUCUAGUGAUCCACAUUACACAGAUUGCAGAGACUGGGAAGAAAAAGGGACUUGGACAGUGCAGAAUCUGAAAUCUUGGAUUCAGCUGAAGCUGCCAUUGGGAGGAGGAUCUUUCAACAGUUGUGUGGUUCCUGACUUAUGGCGACCCCAUCAUGGGGUUUUCUUGGCGAGACUGGUUCAAAGGAGGUUUGCCAUUGCCUUCCCAUGAGGCAGCACAUACAUAAGCACCUUAAUAAAUCCCAUUGAUUCUAGUCUCUUAAUGGGACUAGCAGUUGGAUUUAGACCUAAAACUGCAGGGAUGGAUUUACUGGGCUACAUUUAAGGACUUCUCCUUGAGCAGUUAGAGCUAAGGAGUGUCAUGAUGUAUACCUGUACUUCAGAAUUAACCAUUGCACUACUAUCCCCUUCCCCACCACCUCUCCCUCCUCCUUUUGUGUCAUGUCUUUUUAGAUUGUAAGCCUGCGGGCAGG
Long non-coding RNA from Sceloporus undulatus (fence lizard), 622 nucleotides. RefSeq lists it as uncharacterized. The record is from RefSeq and is a predicted model, not a curated record. The transcript is spliced from 3 exons. Lineage: Eukaryota; Metazoa; Chordata; Lepidosauria; Squamata; Phrynosomatidae.